AAGUCGUAACAAGGUCUCCGUUGGUGAACCAGCGGAGGGAUCAUUACAGAGUUGCAAAACUCCCACCAUUGUGAAUCUACCUAUAGUUGCUUCGGCGUAGGAACUCCUAACCUCAGUACUCUCGGGAGCUGUAGCUGGGCAGUUCCGCUCAGCGCCGACAGCCCAAAAACUCUUAUAUUUUAGGCCUCUCUGAGUAAAACAAAAAUAAGUUAAAACUUUCAACAACGGAUCUCUUGGUUCUGGCAUCGAUGAAGAACGCAGCGAAAUGCGAUAAGUAAUGUGAAUUGCAGAAUUCAGUGAAUCAUCGAAUCUUUGAACGCACAUUGCGCCCGCUAGUAUUCUGGCGGGCAUGCCUGUCCGAGCGUCAUUUCAACCAUCAAGCCCUAGGCUUGUGUUGGGGUUCUGCGGCUGUCCGCAGGCCCUGAAAAUCAGUGGCGGGCUCGUUGUCAAACCGAGUGCAGUAGUAAUAUUCUCUCUGGUCUUACAGCUUGUUCUUGCCGUAAAACAAUCCAAUUUCUAAGGUUGACCUCGGAUCAGGUAGGAAUACCCGCUGAACUUAAGCAUAUCAAUA
Molecule: ribosomal RNA, 571 nt
Filed under: Lasiosphaeria hispida
Lineage: Eukaryota; Fungi; Ascomycota; Sordariomycetes; Sordariales; Lasiosphaeriaceae
Description: eukaryotic LSU rRNA
Rfam family: 5.8S ribosomal RNA (bases 214-367)
Source: RNAcentral